UACAGAGGGUGCAAGCGUUGUUCGGAAUUAUUGGGCGUAAAGCGCGUGUAGGCGGCUUUGCAAGUCGGGUGUGAAAGCCCUCAGCUUAACUGAGGAAGUGCGCCCGAAACUGCAGAGCUUGAAUACCGGAGAGGAUGGCGGAAUUCCCCAAGUAGAGGUGAAAUUCGUAGAUAUCUGGAGGAACACCAGUGGCGAAGGCGGGUCUCUGGACAGUUCCUGACACUGAGGCACGAAGGCCAGGGGAGCAAACGGG
Molecule: ribosomal RNA, 253 nt
Filed under: uncultured bacterium
Lineage: Bacteria
Description: partial 16S ribosomal RNA
Rfam family: Bacterial small subunit ribosomal RNA
Source: RNAcentral